CCUACGGGUGGCAGCAGUGGGGAAUAUUGGGCAAUGGGCGCAAGCCUGACCCAGCAACGCCGCGUGCAGGAAGAAGGCUUUCGGGUUGUAAACUUCUUUUCUCAGGGACGAAGCAAGUGACGGUACCUGCGGAAUAAGCCACGGCUAACUACGUGCCAGCAGCCGCGUGAAUACGUAGGUGGCAAGCGUUAUCCGGAUUUACUGGGUGUAAAGGGCGUGUAGGCGGGACUGGAAGUCAGAUGUGAAAACCACGGGCUCAACCUGUGGCCUGCAUUUGAAACUGGAGUUCUUGAGUACUGGAGAGGCAGGCGGAAUUCCUGGUGUAGCGGUGAAAUGCGUAGAUAUUAGGAGGAACACCAGUGGCGAAGGCGGUCUGCUGGACAGCAACUGACGCUGAGGCGCGAAAGCGUGGGGAGCAAACAGGAUUAGAUACCCCUGUAGUC
This 443-nucleotide ribosomal RNA is filed under the name uncultured bacterium. Its description in RNAcentral is "partial 16S ribosomal RNA". It matches the Rfam family "Bacterial small subunit ribosomal RNA", at positions 338 to 795 of the family's 1533-position model. The record is from RNAcentral.